GAUGAGCCCGCGGCCUAUCAGCUAGUUGGUGGGGUAACGGCCUACCAAGGCUAUGACGGGUAGCUGGUCUGAGAGGACGAUCAGCCACACUGGGACUGCGACACGGCCCAGACUCCUACGGGAGGCAGCAGUUGGGAAUUUUGGGCAAUGGGCGAAAGCCUGACCCAGCGACACCGCGUGGGGGACGAAGGCCUUCGGGUUGUAAACCCCUGUCAGGAGGGACGAAGCCGAAAGGUGACGGUACCUCCAGAGGAAGCCCCGGCUAACUACGUGCCAGCAGCCGCGGUAAGACGUANGGGGCGAGCGUUGUCCGGAUUUACUGGGCGUAAAGCGCGUGCAGGCGGUUCGUUAAGUCCCGUGUUAAAGCCUCCGGCUCAACCGGAGAACGCCGCGGGAUACUGGGCGAGCUUGAGGGCGGUAGAGGGUGAUGGAAUUCCCGGUGUAGCGGUGAAAUGCGUAGAUAUCGGGAGGAACGCCAGUGGCGAAGGCGGUCACCUGGGCCGUCCCUGACGCUGAGACGCGAAAGCUGGGGGAGCAAACGGGAUUAGAUACCCCGGUAGUCCCAGCUGUAAACGAUGCUCACUAGGUGU
RNAcentral lists this ribosomal RNA (590 nucleotides) under uncultured soil bacterium. Its description in RNAcentral is "bacterial SSU rRNA". It matches the Rfam family "Bacterial small subunit ribosomal RNA", at positions 224 to 823 of the family's 1533-position model. The record is from RNAcentral.